GUUUCGCUGAUUCAACCCGCCCGCUGUCGUGCUUCCUUUGUCGUCAGUCUGUUUCACCUCCUCUCUCCUGCUUCGUCUUCCUCUCCAGCACGGAGAGCUUCAACUCUUGGACCCUCGACAUCCCCUUGACGAGCAACCGGACUCGCGGCAGGUCGGGCGAACUCAGCGGAUGGCGAGCGGCGGACUCGCGGGCACGGGCGCGAGCAGGCAAGCGGCGUGCUGCCGCCGCGGCCACUCUCUCCGCCGGCGCACAGCACGGCCAGGGCUGCUCGAAUUGAAUCGACGGUGGACGCGCUCAAGGAGCUCUGCCGCCGGCGCAAGAUUGGAGCGAGCCGUUCUGGAUGGAGCCGCUGUCGCGGAAGCGCAAGGGCGCGCCCAUCGAGUGCUCCGCCGCCGCCAGGUCCCUCCAAGAUGCCCCCUCCCGCAACAGCUCCUGCCAGCAAUGGAACCGCGGUGGCAGAGGGCGCCGGGUGAAGCGAAACGGGGCAGGAGGUGGAGGCCGGCUACGCCGCCUUCGCGCACAGACUGCAGCAGCUUACGGGAGGAGGUGCGGCAGCGGUCAUGAACUCAACACCAGCUGAUUAUAGAUGUAUAAUUUCUCAAGGCUGACGAGAUGCAUUUUUUGUUCCACAUAUGCUGCAUCUCUUGUGCCCACUCCUGAUUCUGCACGGCCAAUAUGGUGUUAAUUGUUUUACUUACCCUUCAAUGUGCUAAAGAUGUAAAACGUGAUGGAAUUCAGCCCUCUUGUGGGUGAAUCAAAGUGCAGAUGCUAAGAUGUAUCCAUAGCCACGUAAUUGUUCAGGUUAGUGUUGUUUUACUUGAAAUGUGCUCAGUGCUCUGUUGUGGGACUAUAUGCUGCUUACUGAAAGGUCAAAUGUGAAACCUUGUUCUUUCUGUCGGUGAUGAUGUUGGAGCUUUCUCCUGCCUAUUUUGCAGCAAGGAAAUAACACAGACGAACAAAAAUUAUUGCAAUUUUUUUCCUUUUCAGGAGCUAUUUUACUUCUCACAUACAUUAACCAAGGUAUUAUCGUGUCUUCCUUUGGUUCAUUAUGCAGAUGCUAAAUGGUUAUGAAAGAGUUCCAAUUCCAUGCUAUGCUUGUAUGUUGUGAACAUCUAAGCAGUCAUUAGAAUGCAAGCUUAGUUUCUUAAGCCAUGUGUCAGCACCAUGUGUUCAUUGACUAUUUCAUGUUUGUAUUUGGAGUCGAGUUUUUGUUUGGGUAGUAUCAGGCCUCUCUAUAUUACUAUCAGUGGCUGCAGUGCAGACUGCAGUACGUGUGCUACUUCCAAUGUUGUAAUUUUGAGUGGAGUUCACAUAUUUCCUAGCUUUUCCCCUUCUCUGCCACUCCACCUGCAGGUUGAGUGUGUACAAUUGAGUGGUGUUCUUUUUGUGUAUAUCGGCAAUAUGAUUGUGUGCAUAAUUAAUAUUCAUUAUUUAGGAAACAAUGAAACAAC
This is a long non-coding RNA of Brachypodium distachyon (stiff brome), 1452 nucleotides long. RefSeq lists it as uncharacterized. Lineage: Eukaryota; Viridiplantae; Streptophyta; Magnoliopsida; Poales; Poaceae. The transcript is spliced from 2 exons. The record is from RefSeq and is a predicted model, not a curated record.